RNAcentral lists this ribosomal RNA (465 nucleotides) under Vreelandella stevensii. RNAcentral's name for it is "partial 16S ribosomal RNA". It matches the Rfam family "Bacterial small subunit ribosomal RNA", at positions 338 to 795 of the family's 1533-position model. The record is from RNAcentral. Lineage: Bacteria; Pseudomonadati; Pseudomonadota; Gammaproteobacteria; Oceanospirillales; Halomonadaceae.
CCUACGGGAGGCUGCAGUGGGGAAUAUUGGACAAUGGGGGCAACCCUGAUCCAGCCAUGCCGCGUGUGUGAAGAAGGCCCUCGGGUUGUAAAGCACUUUCAGUGAGGAAGAACGCCUGGUGGUUAAUACCCAUCAGGAAAGACAUCACUCACAGAAGAAGCACCGGCUGACUCCGUGCCAGCAGCCGCGGUAAUACGGAGGGUGCGAGCGUUAAUCGGAAUUACUGGGCGUAAAGCGCGCGUAGGUGGCUUGAUAAGCCGGUUGUGAAAGCCCCGGGCUCAACCUGGGAACGGCAUCCGGAACUGUCAAGCUAGAGUGCAGGAGAGGAAGGUAGAAUUCCCGGUGUAGCGGUGAAAUGCGUAGAGAUCGGGAGGAAUACCAGUGGCGAAGGCGGCCUUCUGGACUGACACUGACACUGAGGUGCGAAAGCGUGGGUAGCAAACAGGAUUAGAUACCCUUGUAGUC